CUUUUUCUACUGAUAUCAUUUUUCAAUUAUCUUGCUUUCUAAUAUAAGAUACAUCAUAUUUUUAUAUUCAUUCGUUUGAAAAGGUAUGCCCAUCGUGCUCCGUUUAUGCUCAUCAUGCUCCGUUACAUGCUCAUUAUUUCUUUUUAGUUCCAACUCCAAGAAGAAAACGAAACAACACAAACACAAACGAGUAAGCAUAAAACAAUACAAAUAAUAAUAGUUUGUUUUUGCAAACUACAGUUCACGUCGCAAGAACAGAUACUCUGCGUGGUAUCUGCAUCGUUAAAGUUGCAAUAACAUAUCCUCUUUUUGAUUUCUCUUUUGUUUAUCAGAACUGAAGCACACACGAGUAAAAGCUUUUCUGUCAAUAUCUGCUCAUUGUUUAGAUUAUU
Molecule: long non-coding RNA, 392 nt
Filed under: Mytilus galloprovincialis (Mediterranean mussel)
Lineage: Eukaryota; Metazoa; Mollusca; Bivalvia; Mytilida; Mytilidae
Source: RNAcentral